Molecule: ribosomal RNA, 185 nt
Filed under: uncultured Cloacibacterium sp.
Lineage: Bacteria; Pseudomonadati; Bacteroidota; Flavobacteriia; Flavobacteriales; Weeksellaceae
Description: partial 16S ribosomal RNA
Rfam family: Bacterial small subunit ribosomal RNA
Source: RNAcentral
CAGGCGAAUAUUGGUCAAUGGGUGCAAGCCUGAACCAGCCAUCCCGCGUGAAGGACGACUGCCCUAUGGGUUGUAAACUUCUUUUGUAUAGGGAUAAACCUACCCUCGUGAGGGUAGCUGAAGGUACUAUACGAAUAAGCACCGGCUAACUCCGUGCCAGCAGCCGCGGUAAAUAAAAAAAAACG